This 1933-nucleotide long non-coding RNA is filed under the name Macaca mulatta (Rhesus monkey). RNAcentral's name for it is "lncRNA (ENSMMUG00000065149.1)". The record is from RNAcentral. Lineage: Eukaryota; Metazoa; Chordata; Mammalia; Primates; Cercopithecidae.
GAUUUUGGAGUUUGCCACAGAUUAAAUUUUUCAGGUUUUUCUAACUAUUUUAAUGUCAAUGCCAUAAGCUUGAUUCUGCAUUUUCCAAUUUUUUUGUUUUGUUUUGUUUUUUGUUUGUUUGUUUGUUUGUUUUUUGAGACUGAGUCUCGCUCUGUCAUCUAGGCUGGAGUGCAAUGGUGUGAUCUCAGCUCAUCGCAGCCUCCACCUUCCAGGUUCAAGCGAUUCUCCUGAGGCAUCUGCCACCACACCUGGCUAAUUUUUUGUAUUUUUGGUAGAAAUGGGGAUUCACCAGGUUGGCCAGGCUGGUCUCGAACUCCUGACCUCAGAUGAUCCACCCACCUUGGCCUCCCAAAGUGCUGGGAUUACAAGUGUGAGCCACCACGCCCGGCCCCCAAUUUUUUAAAAAUACUCUUCAUAAUGUUGGGCUAAUGUCUGGAGUUCAGACAUGUUUGGAUUGUGUCAGCUAAUAUAAGUUUUCUGGAAAAUGUCAUGGAAUUCCAGUCUGAGAUUAUUUUCAAAGCUUGUGGCCAGAACAGAGGCAGUUUGGCAAGCCAGUUUCAGGCCCAAAUACUCUUUUCAUGUUGUCUCGAUGGCAACAAUCGAGGGUGAUAAUUAGCUACAGUUUCAUCCCUUUGUUGUUUACAAUUUUGAAUAUAUGACAAAUCUAGUCUCUGUGAUAGAUCUGAGGGAUGGAUCCUCUCCUAAUAAUUUUUCUUUUACUUCUUUCAGUUUCUGAUGAGAAUUGGGGGUAGUCUGAGAUCCUUGAAAGUCUUCUGGAAUUGUGGUACAUUUGGGUUUUUUAAACUAAAGGACCAACCAAUAGGUGGAUAAAUUGAUACAAAUUGGGGAACCCAGAGAGUAUACACCUAAGACAGUUCUAAAUUGUUCAAUACACCUUUACCUUUUCUUUUGGGAAUCAGGAAAGUCUUUGUUGAUGGCAUGUAAUUCAGACCAAUACCUAGGUUUAAAUGUUAUCUCUUCUGUUGGACUCACUUGGGAACAGGUACCAGCCAUACACUUGGCUUCAUCUUCAGGAGGUGGGGGCCUUGUGAACCAUACAGCUAUAAGGUUGAUCAGCUGGGAGUGCAACUGGUGGAGGACAUUCUGGGAGAGAAGGAUACAAAGGGAACAGCCCCACUUUCAGAGCUUGAAGCCCCAGAGAGACGGAGAGGGAAUGCACGCACCUGCACCUCCUGUGAAGGUCAGGGAGAUCUGUGACUAAGGAAGAUGCCAAUUAGCACCAGUCCACAGAGAGCUCUGGACAGACCUCUCCUGGGUACUUCUAAACUCUUAUUAUUUCAACAAUUCUAGGAAAGCAGCUCGUCAAAUGGAAAAAUCUGCAUUGGUGAUCACCCUGAACUGGGGCCAUCCCAGAAGGCAAGAGGGCAGGGGUCUUCUUAGGCAGUGGAGAAACGUGUUCUUCCUGUCCUUCGGGGAGGGGAAGCAGAAGCCUCUGGCGCUGCACAGUGGGCUGGCAGUCUCAUGGGUGCUGACUAGGUUGGGGAGCCCCACGUUCUGGCAUUGCUUCAGACCCGGCUGUCACCGAAGGGCUGUGUGGGCCCGAGCCUGUCCUGACUCUCAGUUUCCUGAUCUCUAGGAGGGAAUUAUCUUAUAUGGUCUCUUGCCUGUCUUCACUCUCAAAUGUACUAGAUUACGACACGCUCCCCGACUUCCACCCCGGGCAGGAAUUGCUCUCACCCAGGGUUAUAGGAGCCUGUGUGGCACACCCUACUCUCACCCACCAGGCCAGACUGAAGAAACCAACACAGCUGGUUACCUCUGUCCCUCUUCAGUGAGGGCACUUCCCAGAGCCACCCUGUUGUGAUCAUGGGCCGCCUCCUGGUGGCCUGGGAGGUGGGAUUCAGAGGGGCUCUAGGCAGGCAGGUUGGGGGUAAGAUCAGCAGCAGCCCCACUGCUGCUUGAAAAGAUCGAC